RNAcentral lists this ribosomal RNA (1716 nucleotides) under Bisallardiana sp. NLG-2014. RNAcentral's name for it is "partial 16S ribosomal RNA". The stretch from base 1568 to 1716 matches the Rfam family "Archaeal large subunit ribosomal RNA", at positions 2544 to 2693 of the family's 2987-position model. Lineage: Eukaryota; Metazoa; Arthropoda; Insecta; Coleoptera; Scarabaeidae. The record is from RNAcentral.
AACUAGGAUUAGAUACCCUAUUAUUGGAAAUGUAAAUUAUUAUACUUGAUUAGUAGUAGUUAUGAUCUUGAAAUUCAAAGAAUCUGGCGGUAUUUUAGUCUAUUCAGAGGAACCUGUCCUAUAAUUGAUGAUCCACGAUUAAUUGAACUUAUUUUAAAGGUUUGUAUAUCGUCGUAGUUUGAAUGUUUUAAAAGAAGAUGGAAUAUUCAAGAUUUAAAAAAUUAAAGGAAAUCAGAUCAAGAUACAGCGAAUAAAUAAGGAGAGAUGGGUUACAAUAAAUAUAUUUAUAUAGUUAGUUUAAUUAAAAUUAAGUUAUAAAGUGGAUUUGAAGGUAAUAUAAUUAAGUUAAAUUAUAUGAUUUUAGCUCUAAAAUAUGCACAUAUCGCCCGUCGCUCCCAUUUUAAGGUGGGAUAAGUCGUAACAAAGUAGGUGUACUGGAAAGUGUACCUGGUAAGGCAAAUUAGAGCUUGUUAAAAAGCAUUUUAUUUACAUUAAAAAGUUAGUUGUGAGAAUCAAUAUAAUUUGAAAUUAUUAAUUUAUAUUAAUCAAUUAAAAAAAAUAUUUUUAUUAUUAGUAUUUUUUAGAAUAUCUGUAGUUUAUUAUAGUUUAGUGUAUAGAGAUGGAUUAUUGAAAUAAUUUAAAGUUUAAUUAGAUAAAAGAAGUAUUCAUUUUAUGUACCUUGUGUAUCAGGGUUUAUUAAAAUAGUUUAAUAAAUUAGGUUUCUCGAAUUUUAAAGAGCUAAUAUUAUAUAGAUUUAAUUGUAGUAUAAAUUUUUAUAAUAUAAUAUUAGAAAUGAAACGUUAAUCGUUUUUAAAGAUAUCUAGUUUUUUAAGAAAUAAAUUUAAUUUAGUUUAUAGUUUGUAUUUAAUUAAUUAAUUAAUGGGAUAUAAUUAUAAUUUAAUAUUUUAGGGGAUAAGCUUUAGAAUAAAGUGAUAUAAUUAUUGUAGGUAUUUAAGAAAAAUUAUAGGAUUGGAAGUUUUUAUUUAUAGUGUGUUAUAACUAAUUUUUUUUUUGUAUAAGCUUUAUAUAUGAAUUUAUAUUUUUUAUUAAAAUGAUAUAGUUAAUUUUAUUUUAUAUGUAAUAAUGAUAGAAUUAGUAUAAUUUAGUGUAUAAUUAAUUUGAACUGUAGAGGUUAAGUUAAGGAACUCGGCAAAUUUAUUUUUCGCCUGUUUAUUAAAAACAUGUCUUUUUGAUAAUAAUUUAAAGUCUGACCUGCCCAAUGAGGAGUUGAAUGGCCGCGGUAUUUUGACCGUGCAAAGGUAGCAUAAUCAUUAGUUUUUUAAUUGAAAGCUGGAAUGAAUGGUUGGACGAGAAAGUGACUGUCUCAAUUUAAUUUAAAUUAGAAUUUUAUUUUUAAGUAAAAAAGCUUAAAUGGAUUUAAAAGACGAGAAGACCCUAUAGAGUUUUAUAUUUUUUUUUAUAUAAGUAUUUUAGACUUGGGAAAUUUAUAUAGAAAGAAGUAUUUUGUUGGGGUGACAGAAAAAUUGAAGAAACUUUUUUUUUAUAUUACAUUUAUUUAUGGUUAUAUGAUCCGUUAUUAACGAUUAAAAGAUUAAAUUACCUUAGGGAUAACAGCGUAAUUUUUUUUGAGAGUUCUUAUCGAAAAAAGAGUUUGCGACCUCGAUGUUGGAUUAAAAUUAACUUUUGGUGUAGGGGCUGAAAGGUUAGGUCUGUUCGACCUUUAAAAUUUUACAUGAUCUGAGUUCAAACCGGAGA